GCCUUCUUAGCUCAGGGGUAGAGCACUUUCUUGGUAAGAAAGGGGUCCUGGGUUCAAUUCCCAGAGAAGGCU
This 72-nucleotide transfer RNA is filed under the name Patescibacteria group bacterium. Its description in RNAcentral is "tRNA-Thr". It matches the Rfam family "tRNA". Rfam says of the family: Transfer RNA (tRNA) molecules are approximately 80 nucleotides in length. Their secondary structure includes four short double-helical elements and three loops (D, anti-codon, and T loops). The record is from RNAcentral.